GCCGACUUCAAAAGCUCGUAUCUCCUCCAUCCGAGCUCCGUUUCAGGUGAUCUUGGUCUCGUUGGACUUCAUUUUUCACCGCGAACCUCGCUGUGGGCUCAAUGUGGGCUGAAUCUUGAGGCAUCAAAUUCUAACACUUGACUUAUAGAUUUUUGAUCGAAUUAAAGAGUUUAAUUCAAUCAUCAAUUAAAAAGGAUUCUAAUUGUUGAGCUCAGGUUAGCUCGAUUGGACCUUAAUCGAUUAGAUUGAAAUCUAAUCAAAUCAGAUCA
RNAcentral lists this long non-coding RNA (269 nucleotides) under Elaeis guineensis (African oil palm). Its description in RNAcentral is "long non-coding RNA (EGUI_LNC043924)". The record is from RNAcentral. Lineage: Eukaryota; Viridiplantae; Streptophyta; Magnoliopsida; Arecales; Arecaceae.